Anas platyrhynchos (mallard) is the source of this 1715-nucleotide long non-coding RNA. RefSeq lists it as uncharacterized. NCBI's taxonomy places the organism in Eukaryota, Metazoa, Chordata, Aves, Anseriformes, Anatidae. The record is from RefSeq and is a predicted model, not a curated record.
AGAUGUAUUUUUAUUAGGCUGUGUGCAAUCUCUAUUUGCAUGGUAAUGAAGCCUUCCAAAGGCAUUCAGCAGGUGAGAUGGGAGAUGAACUCCUUCCAUCAGCACCACCGCAUGAUCGGUGGCAUUUGUCAGAAACAAGAAAAGCUUUUUGAUUUUUUAACAACAGAGCAAAACAAUACAACCAACACCGGCUGUGGUACCACUUACACAAUCACCGUUACAGUACAGGACUCUUCAAGGUGAUCCAUGCCUCAGCACAAAGCCAGGCCUGCCACCACCAGUGGCAGGACAUGCUGCUACUGGAUCUCUUUGUUACUUAUCCAGCUCAAAGACGUUUUAUUAAAUACUAAUUUAUACUCAUUGUUACCAUAUUAUUAGAGAACUUUACUAUCAUCAGUGGUUUUAUGCUCCAGCAUGCUGUGUUUUCUGCAGGUGACUCUAGGCCUUAAUUUCUGUAAAAGAAAAAUAAUCCCAGUGCUACACAUCACGGUUAAACUCUUUGUAGCACAGACUCUCACUGCAUGGACAGCACGUAGCAUGGUUAUAAAGUGGACUGUUAUAAGACAAAGACUAAACCAAUAACAAUAAACUUAUGUCCACCUUCCAGGUGUGGUAUAUUAAAACAAACAAACAAAAAAAAGGCAACAGAGGCAUCUCAUUAAGUCUAUUUUGAACCCAAAUUGGCUCCUCAGUUGAUUUGUUGUUAAUUGAUGCAAUCAGGGAUGCAGCUGAGGCACAUUAAAUGCUUAGCAAUUGUAAUGCAAUAAUUUCUGACAGUACUUUAGUAAGAGUGGCAAGAGUAAGCCCUGUUUGCUGGGAAAGACCUUGCAGAGGGGGGAGCCUCUCAGGCAUGUUGUGAGAGCUCCCAGCAGGCUGCAUUAAAAAUGAAGCUAGGUUUGAGCUGUGAAUAGCUACGGUCAUCUACCUGCCUGCAUCUAGAGGCUGGAGAAACCCCUUCCUAGGUGCUGAGGAAGAAAGCAUGGAGCCUGUCCUACUUUGUCCAAGUUCCUGAGUCAGCUGGAGUGGACAGAAGUCGUGUGAGCAGGAUUGCCAGGUCAAGGGACUCCACCAGGAGCAGCACACACAGGUCCACGGACACAAAGGCUCCUGCUGGCCAGCAGCACACAUGGUGCUCAGAACGAGCCUCUUGUCAGCAGAGCAGGUUAUUGCUGACAUUAUUGCCUUGGUGAGGUAAGGCUCAAGGUGGUGGGUAUUUGCUGAAUUGAUAACAGACCCUCCCAAGAGGAGAGGAGAUGCAUCACAGAUGCAGGCUAGCUGCAACUACCUCCCAGUGCCAUAGCAAUGAUGUUCUCCGAUGUAGUCCUCAUUCCUCCUCAAAAAAUUUCUAACAAUGGAUUUGUUUCCCAGCACAGGUGGCAUUUAUCCAGGCAGCUCCUAACCGUAUCUGUUGUCACAGCUUUCCUGGCACUAGUGCUGUCCACCAAAGGGUGUUUUUCUUGCCUCUGAAAUGGUUCAGAAGAUCAUGUCCCAGCCUCCCUCUGCGCAGUGUGUGGUGGUCAGGCUGGGCUCGUGGUUCCCAUGCGUUCUCACUAUUUCAUUACGUUAUCUGGUAAGUUAAAUAAAGAUGUAACAUUGCACUGAAAUCCCUUUCCCCAGACAGUGAUUGAAUUUUGCUGAUGUCAUAAAAGGAUUUGUUCCUCUGUUGUUUUCUGUAACAUCAAGUAAUUCCCAUUAAAUAGUAAGUAAUUGAUUUA